RNAcentral lists this ribosomal RNA (429 nucleotides) under Thyca crystallina. Its description in RNAcentral is "partial 16S rRNA". It matches the Rfam family "Bacterial large subunit ribosomal RNA", at positions 1819 to 2561 of the family's 2925-position model. The record is from RNAcentral. Lineage: Eukaryota; Metazoa; Mollusca; Gastropoda; Littorinimorpha; Eulimidae.
GGCUCUGUGCUUUACAUAAAGAGUCUAAUCUGCCCAGUGACUUAUAAAGUUUAACGGCCGCAGUAUCCUGACUGUGCAAAGGUAGCAUAAUAAUUUGCCCUAUAAUUGAGGGCUGGCAUGAAUGAUUGAAUGGAAUGUAACUGUCUCUAAAAGGAUUUAUAGAAUUUAAGAUAUAUGUGAAGACGCAUAUAUAUAAUUAAGGGACGAGAAGACCCUAUCGAGCUUGAGGUCUCAAGCUAUUAUAUAGCUUUAAUACCUUUGGUUGGGGCAACCCAAGAACAUAAAAAGUUUCUUGUAAAAAUAUUGAUCCAAUAUGAUUGAUUGCAGAUUUAGUUACCGUAGGGAUAACAGCAUAAUUCUUUUAUAGAGUCCUUAUCGAAAUACAUUUGUGACCUCGAUGUUGGACUAAGAUACCUGUGGGAGCAGCUG